AUGGGAGAAGGUACUCAUGUGGAGAACAGGUGAGGAGAAAGAAUUUUGAAGAAUCAGGAGCAAGAACUGGAGAGAGGAAUUAAACGGUUAACAUGGCUGGGCUAAGGCCCUCCUACAAAUGUAGAUUUAGUGAAGAAUUUAACAAACAGACAAAGGGAUCAAAGGGGAAGACUGCAGCACAGGAAAUCUUCAGAGGAAUAGAGAUUUUCCAGGGAGACAGGUUUUUGGUGAGAUCUUAACCAGAGUUUCUAAUGAAGAAGAAACAAUGAGAGUGAGACAGUAAAAUGCUGACCCUCUGUGGAUGGGACAGGAGUUCAAGCAGAGAUGAAACCAUAUUCUUAUGAUAACGUUUGGAAAUACCAUUCAGCUACUAUGAAGUCUUGGCUAAAACCAUCCCUAGUUCUAUACAAGGAUGAACAAAACAGUUCUUACCAUCAAGGAAUUUAUAAUCUAGUUAUUUGGAGAUUUAAAAAGAGAUCGAAUUUGCUACAUGAAUACAACCAAAUUUGCAGGCAAAGGUCAAAUUUCAUUCUAAUAAAAAUCACUGUUUGAUUAAAAA
Antechinus flavipes (yellow-footed antechinus) is the source of this 559-nucleotide long non-coding RNA. RefSeq lists it as uncharacterized. NCBI's taxonomy places the organism in Eukaryota, Metazoa, Chordata, Mammalia, Dasyuromorphia, Dasyuridae. The transcript is spliced from 4 exons. The record is from RefSeq and is a predicted model, not a curated record.